RNAcentral lists this long non-coding RNA (527 nucleotides) under Phaseolus vulgaris (common bean). RNAcentral describes it as "long non-coding RNA (PVUL_LNC005021)". The record is from RNAcentral. Lineage: Eukaryota; Viridiplantae; Streptophyta; Magnoliopsida; Fabales; Fabaceae.
UGACGGAGCCCUAAGUUACGUAGAAGGGGAAAUGGAAAAAGCAACCCACAACGUAUGCACCAGACAGUUACAGGAUGAUGCGAAUCGGUUAAAAUGCAGGAAAAACCAGCAGAAGAAGGAAAGGAGGUACCUUUUGAUGAUCAGGAAGACGAUGAAGGAUGCUGGUGAUUCAGAGUGUUGAAGAACGUAGAGAGCUUUUUUGCAGAAGGAAGUCAGAGCGUUUGCGAAUACGAAGAAAAGUGAUGGAACAGUGGAGUGAAAAAUGGGUUUAAGGGUUUUUCGAAAUGGGUUUGGGAAGCACAAACGGUAACUGAAGGUAACCGUUGAUGAAGCCACGUGUCGAGCGAUGGGUGAGGGGUUUGGUGGAGCGUCAGAGAAGCAGAAAGUACAACCGCUUGGAAUUCUGCGCCAGUGCCACGUAGACCGGUGCUGACGUGACUCUUUUAGUCUUUUCGCUGGACUAGUCUUUGCUUAAGACUAGGGGGCUUGUGUACCGCCCUGGUAGUCGGAAGUGAUGACGUGGCACC